CAAUGUUUUCAAACUUUUCUCGAAUAGCCUAUUUCAAACCACAUCGAACAACAUUAAUCAACGCAAACAUCGGCGUUAUGAUUUUCUUUUUUAUAAAUACAGUCUAUGUGACAUUUUAGACUAAACAAGAUCUCGUAUUGUGGAGGCGCCGUCACUUGAUAUUGUUUCCAAAACAAACAUGAGAAGUUUAAGAAACCUUACGGGGCUCAGAUACUUUAUGCCCACUAAUAUCAUUAUACGUGCACUUGUUUUAUUUUUUAUUACGAUUUUAUUGAAAGAAAAGUAUUUUUGCAAUAAUGUUUAAGUUACAAGUUCUCCGAUUGGACAAACCCGAUUUCUCAAAAUUGCCGCAUCAACUUCACAAAGCAAGACUGAACGCCUCAUCUAAUUUCAUAAUAUGUGCAUUCAUUUGGCGCUAAAAUAAAAGGCUAACCAUGGA
Molecule: long non-coding RNA, 439 nt
Organism: Bombyx mori (domestic silkworm)
Lineage: Eukaryota; Metazoa; Arthropoda; Insecta; Lepidoptera; Bombycidae
Exons: 3
Source: RefSeq, a predicted model, not a curated record